This 31-nucleotide non-coding RNA is filed under the name Mus musculus (house mouse). Lineage: Eukaryota; Metazoa; Chordata; Mammalia; Rodentia; Muridae. The record is from RNAcentral.
UCAACAAAAGGAGAACAAUGUGCUUGAAGGC